GCCAAAUGAAUAUAAAUUCAACAAGCAACAUUUUCUAUUCUUCCCGGGGAAUUAGAGAUCCGGCCCCAUUGCCAUAUUUAGUCCGCAUAGUAGCUUCGGAGAUGUACCACCACUGGUAAUAAAUCAUACACUGCUCAACAUUGCUAUCGCUAAUUGCUUGCAUACCUCAAAUUCCAAAUGAUGUUUCUGUGAACUGAAGGGCAUUGAGUUUAUGGAGCUUCCCAAGAAGGACGAUCUGGAGAACGGAAAAGGCAGGUAGGCUUCAGUGAUAGCUAUAUGAACGCUGUCAUAAUCCGCUUCUGUGGAACCAUGAUUGGGGACCAAAAUACAUAUGAACGCUGAGUAAUCCUUUUCAAAAUUUCCAAAGGAGCUGUAACAUCAACCUUUAUGGAUUGUUAUCUCUGAAUCACCUUUUAGGAUAGGUGUAGUGGAAGAUGUUAAGAGUCUCUUUUCCCACGAGUGGAACUGAGCUAGCUACGGAAAUUUCUAUGCUUCUUCCGGAUUCUGAUUCUAAAGAAACCAAACAAAAGUAAACCAGAAUGGUUCUCAUCAAGGCCUUGUUUAGUUCACCCCAAAAAUCAUAAUCUUUUCAAGAUUCCCCGUCACAUCAAAUCUUACGCCACAUGCAUUGAGUAUUAAAUAUAGACGAAAAUAAAAACUAAUUACACAGUUUACCUGUAAAUCACGAGAUGAAUCUUUUAAGCCCUAGUUACUCU
Molecule: long non-coding RNA, 716 nt
Filed under: Sorghum bicolor (sorghum)
Lineage: Eukaryota; Viridiplantae; Streptophyta; Magnoliopsida; Poales; Poaceae
Description: long non-coding RNA (SBIC_LNC010770)
Source: RNAcentral